Molecule: ribosomal RNA, 433 nt
Filed under: uncultured bacterium
Lineage: Bacteria
Description: partial 16S ribosomal RNA
Rfam family: Bacterial small subunit ribosomal RNA
Source: RNAcentral
AACGAACGCUGGCGGCAUGCCUAACACAUGCAAGUCGAACGAGACCUUCGGGUUUAGUGGCGCACUGGUGCGUAACGCGUGGGAACCUGCCCUUAGGUUCGGAAUAACUCCCCGAAAGGGGUGCUAAUACCGGAUAAUGUCUUCGGACCAAAGAUUUAUCGCCUUUGGAUGGGCCUGCGUUGGCUUAGCUAGUUGGUAGGGUAAAAGCCUACCAAGGCGACGAUCCAUAGCUGGUUUGAGAGGAUGAGCAGCCACACUGGGACUGAGACACGGCCCAGACUCCUACGGGAGGCAGCAGUGGGGAAUAUUGGACAACGGGCGAAAGCCUGAUCCAGCAAUGCCGCGUGAGUGAUGAAGGCCUUAGGGUUGUAAAGCUCUUUUACCCGGGAUGAUAAUGACGGUACCGGGAGAAUAAGCACCGGCUAACUCCGUG